Molecule: small RNA, 279 nt
Filed under: Ovis aries (sheep)
Lineage: Eukaryota; Metazoa; Chordata; Mammalia; Artiodactyla; Bovidae
Description: 7SK RNA (ENSOARG00000023707.1)
Source: RNAcentral
GGACUGAGGUCGUCUGGCUUCGGCAUCUGUCACUCCUCUGUCUGCAGAGCUGACUUUAUCUAAUUAGUCAGAAAGGUGGCACGCUCCUCCCUCACUGGUCCAUGUGUGGCCUGCCUCACAUUGCAUCCCAAGGCAAAAGAGUGGAUCUUUUAAGCUCUACCUGGACUUCUCUUUGGUCAAAGGUAUCUGAAUAGCUGAGUUAUUUUAGUGGAAACUCUGAACAUGGAAUUGCAGUUUGAAGCAGCCCAAAUAUCUAUUUUUAUAGCUGAGAAGAGACUC